RNAcentral lists this ribosomal RNA (331 nucleotides) under uncultured bacterium. RNAcentral's name for it is "bacterial SSU rRNA". It matches the Rfam family "Bacterial small subunit ribosomal RNA", at positions 568 to 898 of the family's 1533-position model. The record is from RNAcentral.
CGCGUAGGCGGUUCGUACAGUCAGACGUGAAAUUCCCGGGCUCAACCUGGGGGCUGCGUUUGAUACGUGCGGGCUUGAGUUCGGAAGAGGGUCGUGGAAUUCCCAGUGUAGAGGUGAAAUUCGUAGAUAUUGGGAAGAACACCGGUGGCGAAGGCGGCGACCUGGUCCGAUACUGACGCUGAGGCGCGAAAGCGUGGGGAGCAAACAGGAUUAGAUACCCUGGUAGUCCACGCCGUAAACGAUGUGUGCUGGAUGUUGGGCGGUCUGACCGUUCAGUGUCGUAGCCAACGCGAUAAGCACACCGCCUGGGGAGUACGGCCGCAAGGUUGAA